ACGUAGGGAGCAAGCGUUAUCCGGAAUUACUGGGUGUAAAGGGAGUGUAGGCGGGGUAGCAAGUCAGAUGUGAAAAUUAUGGGCUCAACUCAUAACCUGCAUUUGAAACUGUUGCUCUUGAGUGAAGUAGAGGUAAGCGGAAUUCCUAGUGUAGCGGUGAAAUGCGUAGAUAUUAGGAGGAACAUCAGUGGCGAAGGCGGCUUACUGGGCUUUUACUGACGCUGAGGCUCGAAAGCGUGGGUAGCAAA
Molecule: ribosomal RNA, 248 nt
Filed under: uncultured bacterium
Lineage: Bacteria
Description: partial 16S ribosomal RNA
Rfam family: Bacterial small subunit ribosomal RNA
Source: RNAcentral